Molecule: long non-coding RNA, 159 nt
Organism: Haliotis rufescens (red abalone)
Lineage: Eukaryota; Metazoa; Mollusca; Gastropoda; Lepetellida; Haliotidae
Exons: 3
Source: RefSeq, a predicted model, not a curated record
CGAAAGGAUGAUGCGUGGAGGGCUGAGGGAAAACCUAUUUUGCGAAAACCAGACGUUCAGCCAUUGCCUGUUGGCAAACAUGGAUGAGCUGAAUGAACUCUUAGCAGCUUUCCAAAAUCGAGCAACUGAGAGAGCACUGAAGCUGAGGAGGAAGCCUGC